GGCAAAAGCUCAAAUUUGAAAUCUGCCUUACGGCCGAGUUGUAAUUUGUAGAUGGUAACUCUGUGGCAAGCCUUUGCUCAAGUUUUCUGGAAAGAAACAUCAUGGAGGGUGACAAUCCCGUGAGGCAUUGGUGCAGCUACGUGUAGAGUGCUAUCAAAGAGUCGAGUUGUUUGGGAAUGCAGCUCAAAGUGGGUGGUAGACACCAUCUAAAGCUAAAUAUUGGCGAGAGACCGAUAGCGAACAAGUACUGUGAAGGAAAGAUGAAAAGCACUUUGAAAAGAGAGUGAAAAAGUACGUGAAAUUAUUGAUACAGAAGGGUAUAAAAUUGGACUCAAGGUCUAGGUUCGGUAGCCUCUCGGGGUUGCUUUGUCCUAGGCCCUAAACCAGCAUCAGUUUUGGCAGGUGGAUAAACAACAUGGAAUGUAGCUGCUUGCAGUGUUAUAGACUUGUUGCAUACACCUUGCAGGGACUGAGGACCGCC
RNAcentral lists this ribosomal RNA (481 nucleotides) under Wickerhamiella azyma. RNAcentral describes it as "partial large subunit ribosomal RNA". It matches the Rfam family "Eukaryotic large subunit ribosomal RNA", at positions 100 to 593 of the family's 3401-position model. Lineage: Eukaryota; Fungi; Ascomycota; Dipodascomycetes; Dipodascales; Trichomonascaceae. The record is from RNAcentral.